Molecule: ribosomal RNA, 358 nt
Filed under: uncultured fungus
Lineage: Eukaryota; Fungi
Description: eukaryotic LSU rRNA
Rfam family: Eukaryotic large subunit ribosomal RNA
Source: RNAcentral
AUAUCAAUAAGCGGAGGAAAAGAAACCAACAGGGAUUGCCUCAGUAACGGCGAGUGAAGCGGCAAAAGCUCAAAUUUGAAAUCUGGCCUCACGGUCCGAGUUGUAAUUUGUAGAGGAUGCUUCGAACGUGGUCCGGUCUAAGUUCCUUGGAACAGGACGUCAUAGAGGGUGAGAAUCCCGUAUGUGCCCGGGUGCCAUUGUUCAUGUGAAGCUCCUUCGACGAGUCGAGUUGUUUGGGAAUGCAGCUCAAAAUGGGUGGUAAAUUUCAUCUAAAGCUAAAUACUGGCCAGAGACCGAUAGCGCACAAGUAGAGUGAUCGAAAGAUGAAAAGCACUUUGGAAAGAGAGUUAAACAGUAC